Molecule: ribosomal RNA, 853 nt
Filed under: uncultured bacterium
Lineage: Bacteria
Description: bacterial SSU rRNA
Rfam family: Bacterial small subunit ribosomal RNA
Source: RNAcentral
GGUCGUUCAAUACUGUCGGACUAGAGGAUGGUAGAGGGAGGUGGAAUUCCGGGUGUAGUGGUGAAAUGCGCAGAUAUCCGGAGGAACACCAGUGGCGAAGGCGGCCUCCUGGACCAGUCCUGACGCUCAGACGCGAAAGCUAGGGUAGCAAACGGGAUUAGAGACCCCGGUAGUCCUAGCUGUAAACGAUGUGAACUUGGCGUCGGUGGGAUUAAAUCCAUCGGUGUCGAAGCUAACGCGAUAAGUUCACCGCCUGAGGACUACGGCCGCAAGGUUAAAACUCAAAGGAAUUGACGGGGACCCGCACAAGCAGCGGAGCGUGUGGUUUAAUUCGUUGCUACACGAAGAACCUUACCUGGGUUUGACAUAUAGGUUGUAGGGAACUGAAAAGGGACCGACCCUUCGGGGAGCCUAUACAGGUGUUGCAUGGCUGUCGUCAGCUCGUGUCGUGAGAUGUUCGGUUAAGUCCGCUAACGAGCGCAACCCUCGUCGUAUGUUACAAGUGUCAUACGAGACUGCCGGUAAAAAGCCGGAGGAAGGUGAGGAUGAUGUCAAGUCAGCAUGACCUUUAUAUCCAGGGCUACACACACGCUACAAUGGUCUGUACAAUGGGUAGCCAAGCCGCGAGGCGGAGCCAAUCCUGAAAGCAGGCCUCAGUUCAGAUUGCAGUCUGCAACUCGACUGCAUGAAGCCGGAGUUGCUAGUAACCGCAGGUCAGCAAUACUGCGGUGAAUACGUUCCCGGGUCUUGUACACACCGCCCGUCACGUCAUGGAAGCUGGCAACGCCUGAAGGCGGUAUCCUAACCCUCACGGGAAGGAGCUGUCUAAGGUGGGGUCGGUGACUGGGACGAA